Coregonus clupeaformis (lake whitefish) is the source of this 1331-nucleotide long non-coding RNA. RefSeq lists it as uncharacterized. The transcript is spliced from 3 exons. The record is from RefSeq and is a predicted model, not a curated record. NCBI's taxonomy places the organism in Eukaryota, Metazoa, Chordata, Actinopteri, Salmoniformes, Salmonidae.
UCGAGUCAAAGUUGCGAUUUAUGGCAUCAGGAGAGUUGCCAUUUAAAGUCUGCCAGAGACUGUGGAAGAACUGCAGUCAAUACUGAAGAGCAAGCUUGAUUUGGAAGGUGACAUCGUACUUCAAUUCGAAGAUCCAUUAUUUGAAAAUGAGUUGUGCAACUUGACCAGUAUCUCAGAUCUACCUAAAGAAAGAGCAACCCUGAAGGUAAUACUUAAGACGCCACCCGACUCUGAGCUUUCAGACAGUGACACUUUGGACACUGCCAGUAUUUAGUCGUUAUCAGACUCUCUCUCACCUUCCUACCAUGCACAGCAGUGACCUGAGCCAUUUAUCAUCCCUACCUUUAACUAUAAUGUUGAAUUGAAGCUCAGACGUGGAAAUGAGGAUUAUGGAAUGGAUGGUUCCCUUUUGCCAAUCUCCAAGAAUACGAAGACGGAAAUUCUUGACAAAGUAGCAGGUGUUAUGUUUGACGUCAACCCAUACCCAUCACAAAAACAAGUUGAAGGUGUUGCCAAAGCUCUGGUGGAGAAACACCCAUGCCUGGAAAAUCCAGGACCAUUAUGCGGAUGGUCUGCCUGGAAAUUCAGCCUGAACUUCAAGAUAGGAACUAUCGUCAGACGUUGCACAUAGCAGGAUGUCCUGAGCUUAUGGUGAAUUGUAACAAGAAGUCAAGGGUUGAUGGCAAAGACAAAAUCAAGUUUAAAAAACAAACAAGCGAACAGAGGUGAAAUUCUUGGCAGAUAUUCCUCAAGCGAAAACAACCAACACUCUUGAAGAGGAGAGAAAGAGUUUGCUAGAGGAGAUAAAGAAAAAGAGAAUGAACUGCACACUGAUGGGGAACAUGUUUGCCCUACGGAGAAAGGAAAUCAUUCAGGAUGAGCCACUUGAAUCUGAUGUGAAAACCAGAUGGCCAGCUUUGUUUACAGAGAGACAGAAUUCAACUGCCUUGUCUCCGCUGACCUCAAUAAAUCCUUCCUCGUUGGACAUGCCCAGAUUGCUGGAGUUGUACAGAGCAUUGGUUCCAACAAUGGCCGAACUUCAUCGUUUUCUAUGUUCUCUUGAUCAGAACACCUCCAACCAGAAUAGAAGAGCUGCUGUUUUCCUCAGCCUUCCACACUUCCUGAGGGAGGAUCCAUCCAACUUCAUCAAGAUCUGUCAGGUGUGUGUGUAACUUCUAUAAGUCCUGAGUUUUCUGUUUGGGCCCACACAGCCCUGAUUUUGCAAUCUCAUACUCCUUGCUUACUGUCCAAUAACUAAGGUAAUUCAUAAGUGAAUAAGCUUCAUCUCCACAUUGGUAAGUAUUCUAACAACACGAUAAGUAUUGGAACUA